UCUCACUAUUCAAAACGACUCUCGGCAACGGAUAUCUCGGCUCUCGCAUCGAUGAAGAACGUAGCGAAAUGCGAUACUUGGUGUGAAUUGCAGAAUCCCGUGAACCAUCGAGUCUUUGAACGCAAGUUGCGCCCCAAGCCGUUAGGCCGAGGGCACGCCUGCCUGGGUGUCACGCA
Molecule: ribosomal RNA, 176 nt
Filed under: Acer ceriferum
Lineage: Eukaryota; Viridiplantae; Streptophyta; Magnoliopsida; Sapindales; Sapindaceae
Description: 5.8S ribosomal RNA
Rfam family: 5.8S ribosomal RNA (bases 17-172)
About the family: 5.8S ribosomal RNA (5.8S rRNA) is a component of the large subunit of the eukaryotic ribosome. It is transcribed by RNA polymerase I as part of the 45S precursor that also contains 18S and 28S rRNA.
Source: RNAcentral